Molecule: non-coding RNA, 92 nt
Organism: Melanopsichium pennsylvanicum
Lineage: Eukaryota; Fungi; Basidiomycota; Ustilaginomycetes; Ustilaginales
Source: the annotation of a GenBank genome assembly
GGCCCUAUAGCUCAGCGGUAGAGCGUCGGCUUCCAGACGUUCUACGGAUAGGAAAUUUCCGAAGGUCAUCCGUUCAAAUCGGGUUGGGGUCA